GAUCCUGGCUCAGAGUGAACGCUGGCGGCGUGCUUAACACAUGCAAGUCGAACGGAUGAAAUAAGCUUGCUUAUUUCGUUAGUGGCGCACGGGUGAGUAAUGUAUAGCUAACCUGCCCUUUAGUGGGGGACAACAGAUGGAAACGUCUGCUAAUACCCCAUACUCCAGCCUAUCAUAAGGUAGGUUGGGAAAGAUUUAUUGCUAAAGGAUGGGGCUUUAUGGUAUCAGCUAGUUGGUGGGGUAACGG
RNAcentral lists this ribosomal RNA (247 nucleotides) under uncultured bacterium. Its description in RNAcentral is "partial 16S ribosomal RNA". It matches the Rfam family "Bacterial small subunit ribosomal RNA", at positions 15 to 263 of the family's 1533-position model. The record is from RNAcentral.